UACGGAGGAUGCGAGCGUUAUCCGGAUUUAUUGGGUUUAAAGGGUGCGUAGGCGGACUGUUAAGUCAGCGGUAAAAGCCCGGGGCUCAACCCCGGCGAGCCGUUGAAACUGGCUGUCUUGAGAUGUCGAGAGGUAUGCGGAAUGCGCAGUGUAGCGGUGAAAUGCUUAGAUAUUGCGCAGAACUCCGAUUGCGAAGGCAGCAUACCGGCGGCGAUCUGACGCUGAGGCACGAAAGCGUUGGUAUCGAACAGG
RNAcentral lists this ribosomal RNA (252 nucleotides) under uncultured bacterium. Its description in RNAcentral is "partial 16S ribosomal RNA". It matches the Rfam family "Bacterial small subunit ribosomal RNA", at positions 524 to 776 of the family's 1533-position model. The record is from RNAcentral.